Molecule: small RNA, 1242 nt
Filed under: Histoplasma ohiense
Lineage: Eukaryota; Fungi; Ascomycota; Eurotiomycetes; Onygenales; Ajellomycetaceae
Description: hypothetical lncRNA
Source: RNAcentral
GCCACCUCCUCGUGGUGCAGCCUGGUAACAUCAUCUAGUGAUGAUGGCCAAGAGCAGAGCGGUUUGUUAUGAGUGUCUGAUUCUUAGUGAACUCAGCAUUCAUUGGCCUUCAGGCCUUGAUCUUUGCUCCCUGUGAGCAAUCACCCUGCCACUGCUCCCUGCGAGCAAUCGUCCUGCUGCUGCUCGCUACGAGCAAUCGCCCUGCCGCUGCUCCCUGUGAGCAAUCGCCCUGCCUCUGCCCUGCCUCCGCCCUGCCUCUGCUCUCUGUGAGAGCAAUCACCCUGCCGCUGCUCACUACGAGCAAUCGUCCUGCUGCUGCUCCCUGCGAGCAAUCACCCUGCCGCUGCUCCCUGCGAGCAAUCGUCCUGCUGCUGCUCCCUGCGAGCAAUCGCCCUGCCGCUGCUCCCUGUGAGCAAUCGCCCUGCCUCUGCCCUGCCUCCGCCCUCCCUCUGCUCUCUGUGAGAGCAAUCACCCUGCUGCUGCUCACUACGAGCAAUCGCCCUGCUGCUGCUCCCUGCGAGCAAUCGCCCUGCCGCUGCUCCCUGCGAGCAAUCGUCCUGCUGCUGCUCGCUACGAGCAAUCGCCCUGCCGCUGCUUCCUGUGAGCAAUCGCCCUGCCUCUGCCCUGCCUCCGCCCUGCCUCUGCUCUCUGUGAGAGCAAUCACCCUGCCGCUGCUCACUACGAGCAAUCGCCCUGCUGCUGCUCCCUGCGAGCAAUCGCCCUGCCGCUGCUCCCUGCGAGCAAUCGCCCUGCCGCUGCUCCCUGCGAGCAAUCGUCCUGCUGCUGCUCGCUACGAGCAAUCGCCCUGCCGCUGCUCCCUGUGAGCAAUCGCCCUGCCUCCGCCCUGCCUCCGCCCUGCCUCUGCUCUCUGUGAGAGCAAUCACCCUGCCGCUGCUCACUACGAGCAAUCGCCCUGCCGCUGCUCCCUGCGAGCAAUCACCCUGCCGCUGCUCACUGCGAGCAAUCGCCCUGCCGCUGCUCCCUGCGAGCAAUCGCCCUGCCGUAGCACUUGUGUGCUUUGAUUAUCUCUACCAUGAAUGGCCAUACGUCGGGCCAGAAGUGGAUGAACAGUCUAUAUAGACUGAGUCUUCUCAAGAGUUGCUAUCUGGAUCCUGUGUCUAUCAUUACUGUGUAUAUAGAGAUUUCUCCAGCGUAGCACGUCCCCAUGCCCUUCGGGAGGCUUUUGAAGUGCAGGCAUUGCCUGUGUCUUCUCUGGGACGCUAAACCAAUACAUACAUACAU